Molecule: ribosomal RNA, 455 nt
Filed under: uncultured bacterium
Lineage: Bacteria
Description: bacterial SSU rRNA
Rfam family: Bacterial small subunit ribosomal RNA
Source: RNAcentral
AGAGUUUGAUCAUGGCUCAGAGCGAACGCUGGCGGCAGGCUUAACACAUGCAAGUCGAACGGGCGUAGCAAUACGUCAGUGGCAGACGGGUGAGUAACACGUGGGAACGUACCCUUUGGUUCGGAACAACACAGGGAAACUUGUGCUAAUACCGGAUAAGCCCUUACGGGGAAAGAUUUAUCGCCGAAGGAUCGGCCCGCGUCUGAUUAGCUUGUUGGUGAGGUAAUGGCUCACCAAGGCGACGAUCAGUAGCUGGUCUGAGAGGAUGAUCAGCCACACUGGGACUGAGACACGGCCCAGACUCCUACGGGAGGCAGCAGUGGGGAAUAUUGGACAAUGGGCGCAAGCCUGAUCCAGCCAUGCCGCGUGAGUGAUGAAGGCCCUAGGGUUGUAAAGCUCUUUUGGCGGGGAAGAUAAUGACGGUACCCGCAGAAUAAGCCCCGGCUAACUUCGUG